RNAcentral lists this ribosomal RNA (497 nucleotides) under uncultured bacterium. RNAcentral describes it as "partial 16S ribosomal RNA". It matches the Rfam family "Bacterial small subunit ribosomal RNA", at positions 28 to 507 of the family's 1533-position model. The record is from RNAcentral.
GACGAACGCUGGCGGCGUGCCUAAUACAUGCAAGUUGAGCGCUGAAGGUUGGUACUUGUACCGACUGGAUGAGCAGCGAACGGGUGAGUAACGCGUGGGGAAUCUGCCUUUGAGCGGGGGACAACAUUUGGAAACGAAUGCUAAUACCGCAUAAAAACUUUAAACACAAGUUUUAAGUUUGAAAGAUGCAAUUGCAUCACUCAAAGAUGAUCCCGCGUUGUAUUAGCUAGUUGGUGAGGUGAAGGCUCACCAAGGCGAUGAUACAUAGCCGACCUGAGAGGGUGAUCGGCCACAUUGGGACUGGGACACGGCCCAAACGCCUACGGGAGGCAGCAGUAGGGAAUCUUCGGCAAUGGACGAAAGUCUGACCGAGCAACGCCGCGUGAGUGAAGAAGGUUUUCGGAUCGUAAAACUCUGUUGGUAGAGAAGAACGUUGGUGAGAGUGGAAAGCUCAUCAAGUGACGGUAACUACCCAGAAAGGGACGGCUAACUACGUG